GGGGUUGUGGCUCAGCAGUAGAGCACUCACCUAGCAUGUGUGAGGCAUAGGGUUCAAUCCUCAGCACCA
RNAcentral lists this transfer RNA (69 nucleotides) under Ictidomys tridecemlineatus (thirteen-lined ground squirrel). RNAcentral's name for it is "Spermophilus tridecemlineatus (thirteen-lined ground squirrel) tRNA". It matches the Rfam family "tRNA". From Rfam's summary of the family: Transfer RNA (tRNA) molecules are approximately 80 nucleotides in length. Their secondary structure includes four short double-helical elements and three loops (D, anti-codon, and T loops). Further hydrogen bonds mediate the characteristic L-shaped molecular structure. tRNAs have two regions of fundamental functional importance: the anti-codon, which is responsible for specific mRNA codon recognition, and the 3' end, to which the tRNAs corresponding amino acid is attached (by aminoacyl-tRNA synthetases). tRNAs cope with the degeneracy of the genetic code in two manners: having more than one tRNA (with a specific anti-codon) for a particular amino acid; and 'wobble' base-pairing, i.e. permitting non-standard base-pairing at the 3rd anti-codon position. RNAcentral also lists the same sequence under 1 other name. The record is from Rfam by way of RNAcentral. Lineage: Eukaryota; Metazoa; Chordata; Mammalia; Rodentia; Sciuridae.